RNAcentral lists this ribosomal RNA (301 nucleotides) under uncultured bacterium. Its description in RNAcentral is "partial 16S ribosomal RNA". It matches the Rfam family "Bacterial small subunit ribosomal RNA", at positions 509 to 807 of the family's 1533-position model. The record is from RNAcentral.
CAGCAGCCGCGGGAAUACGGAGGGUGCAAGCGUUAAUCGGAUUUACUGGGCGUAAAGCGUGCGUAGGCGGCUUUUUAAGUCGGAUGUGAAAUCCCUGAGCUUAACUUAGGAAUUGCAUUCGAUACUGGGAAGCUAGAGUAUGGGAGAGGAUGGUAGAAUUCCAGGUGUAGCGGUGAAAUGCGUAGAGAUCUGGAGGAAUACCGAUGGCGAAGGCAGCCAUCUGGCCUAAUACUGACGCUGAGGUACGAAAGCAUGGGGAGCAAACAGGAUUAGAGACCCCCGUAGUCCCUGUCUCUUAUAC